This 477-nucleotide ribosomal RNA is filed under the name uncultured bacterium. RNAcentral's name for it is "partial 16S ribosomal RNA". It matches the Rfam family "Bacterial small subunit ribosomal RNA", at positions 28 to 507 of the family's 1533-position model. The record is from RNAcentral.
GAUUAACGCUGGCGGCGUGCAUAACACAUGCAAGUCGAACGAUGAAACUUUAAUGAACCCUUCGGGGAGAAUUAAAGCGGAUUAGUGGCGAACGGGUGAGUAACGCGUGAGUAACCUGCCUUACACAAGGGGAUAGCCUUUGGAAACGAAGAAUAAUACCCUAUAAAACCAUAAAAGCACAUGCAAUUAUGGUCAAAGUGAUAGCGGUGUAAGAUGGACUUGCGUCUGAUUAGCUAGUUGGUGAGAUAAAAGCCCACCAAGGCAACGAUCGGUAGCCGGCUUGAGAGAGUGUACGGCCACAUUGGGACUGAGACACGGCCCAGACUCCUACGGGAGGCAGCAGUGGGGAAUUUUGCACAAUGGGGGAAACCCUGAUGCAGCGACGCCGCGUGAUUUAGAAGGCCUUCGGGUUGUAAAAAUCUUUUGUAUAGGAAGAAAAUGACAGUACUAUACGAAUAAGGUCCGGCUAAUUACGUG